CCGUCACGUGCCUCGGCUUGACGUGACGAUCCAAUACCUUCUAAGCCUGACUAGAGUCGUCUAACAUCAUUUCGAGAGCCUAGACCAUAGCAUCUACCCUUGUGUGUCCCCCCUACCACUUUUUAUUUCCAAAUCUGGGUGGACAAUUCAGGUGUCAAUUGGACCGAACUAUCUAGAUUCUCAGCGACGUACUGAUGAAAUUCAUU
This 206-nucleotide long non-coding RNA is filed under the name Solanum tuberosum (potato). RNAcentral's name for it is "long non-coding RNA (STUB_LNC002549)". The record is from RNAcentral. Lineage: Eukaryota; Viridiplantae; Streptophyta; Magnoliopsida; Solanales; Solanaceae.